Molecule: ribosomal RNA, 168 nt
Filed under: uncultured bacterium
Lineage: Bacteria
Description: partial 16S ribosomal RNA
Rfam family: Bacterial small subunit ribosomal RNA
Source: RNAcentral
GCUGGAUUCGCUAGUAAUCGCGCAUCAGCCAUGGCGCGGUGAAUACGUUCCCGGGCCUUGUACACACCGCCCGUCAAGCCAUGGAAGCCGGGAGUGCCUGAAGUGUGCAACCGCAAGGAGCGCCCUAAGGUAAAACUGGUGACUGGGGCUAAGUCGUAACAAGGUAUC